CUAGCGACUUCAGAGUUUGAUCCUGGCUCAGGAUUAACGCUGGCGGCGUGCAUAACACAUUCAAGUCGAACGGAGUAGACGCUUCGGUGUCUACUUAGUGGCGGACGGGUGAGUAACGCGUGAGUAAUCUACCUUCCAGUGCGGAAUAACAACCGGAAACAGUUGCUAAUACCGCAUGAAAUGGCAGCAUCGCAUGGUGCAACCAUCAAAGAUUUAUCGCUGGAAGAUGAGCUUGCGUCCGAUUAGAUAGUUGGCGGAGUAACAGCCCACCAAGUCGACGAUCGGUAGCCGGACUGAGAGGUUGAACGGCCACAUUGGAACUGAGAAACGGUCCAG
RNAcentral lists this ribosomal RNA (336 nucleotides) under uncultured bacterium. RNAcentral's name for it is "bacterial SSU rRNA". It matches the Rfam family "Bacterial small subunit ribosomal RNA", at positions 1 to 334 of the family's 1533-position model. The record is from RNAcentral.